RNAcentral lists this ribosomal RNA (428 nucleotides) under uncultured bacterium. RNAcentral's name for it is "partial 16S ribosomal RNA". It matches the Rfam family "Bacterial small subunit ribosomal RNA", at positions 355 to 774 of the family's 1533-position model. The record is from RNAcentral.
UGGGGAAUAUUGGACAAUGGGGGGAACCCUGAUCCAGCCAUGCCGCGUGUGUGAAGAAGGCCUUUUGGUUGUAAAGCACUUUAAGCGAGGAGGAGGCUACCGAGAUUAAUACUCUUGGAUAGUGGACGUUACUCGCAGAAUAAGCACCGGCUAACUCUGUGCCAGCAGCCGCGGUAAUACAGAGGGUGCAAGCGUUAAUCGGAUUUACUGGGCGUAAAGCGCGCGUAGGGGGCCAAUUAAGUCAAAUGUGAAAUCCCCGAGCUUAACUUGGGAAUUGCAUUCGAUACUGGUUGGCUAGAGUAUGGGAGAGGAUGGUAGAAUUCCAGGUGUAGCGGUGAAAUGCGUAGAGAUCUGGAGGAAUACCGAUGGCGAAGGCAGCCAUCUGGCCUAAUACUGACACUGAGGUGCGAAAGCAUGGGGAGCAAACA